RNAcentral lists this ribosomal RNA (473 nucleotides) under uncultured bacterium. RNAcentral's name for it is "bacterial SSU rRNA". It matches the Rfam family "Bacterial small subunit ribosomal RNA", at positions 29 to 482 of the family's 1533-position model. The record is from RNAcentral.
AACGAACGCUGGCGGCGUGCCUAACACAUGCAAGUCGAGGGAGAAAGCCGCAAGGUGAGUAAACCGGCGAACGGGUGCGUAACACGUGGAUAAUCUACCUCUGUGACUGGGACGACUGGCCGAAAGGCUUGCUAAUACCGGAUAAGCCCACGGGGUCUUCGGACUCUGAGGGAAGAGGCGGCCUCUGUAUACAAGCUGUCACAUGGAGAUGAGUCCGCGGCCCAUCAGCUAGUUGGCGGGGUAAAAGCCCACCAAGGCAACGACGGGUAGCUGGUCUGAGAGGAUGAUCAGCCACACUGGAACUGAGACACGGUCCAGACUCCUACGGGAGGCAGCAGUGGGGAAUCUUGCGCAAUGGGCGAAAGCCUGACGCAGCAACGCCGCGUGUGUGAUGAAGGUCUUCGGAUCGUAAAGCACUGUCGCGAGGGAAGAUACGCCUCUGGCUAAUAUUCAGAGGCUAAGACGGUACCUCG